CCUUAAAUAACUCAUCUCCUCAUCAUCACUUUUUUUCCAAAACCACACCAUAGAAGCUACAACAUCAUCCAUACUAACAUAAACAAUAACACAAUUUUCCUAUUCAUCAUCAACACCAAAUCAAAGUUUUUUGUCACUCUUCAUCACCAUUCCCCAACUUCAUCUUCUUCAACCAACACAACAUCGAAAACAACAACAAUAUCACAAAUCUCUUAACCGCACAACCACU
Molecule: long non-coding RNA, 229 nt
Filed under: Lathyrus oleraceus (garden pea)
Lineage: Eukaryota; Viridiplantae; Streptophyta; Magnoliopsida; Fabales; Fabaceae
Description: Pisum sativum (pea) long non-coding RNA (PSAT_LNC041179)
Source: RNAcentral